This 207-nucleotide ribosomal RNA is filed under the name uncultured bacterium. RNAcentral describes it as "partial 16S ribosomal RNA". It matches the Rfam family "Bacterial small subunit ribosomal RNA", at positions 1294 to 1500 of the family's 1533-position model. The record is from RNAcentral.
CGGAUUGCAGCCUGCAACUCGGCUGCAUGAAGCUGGAAUCGCUAGUAAUCGCGGAUCAGAAUGCCGCGGUGAAUACGUUCCCGGGUCUUGUACACACCGCCCGUCACGCCAUGGGAGCCGGAAACGCCCGAAGCCAGCGGCCCAACCGCAAGGGGGGAGCUGUCGAAGGCGGGUCCGGUGACCGGGGUGAAGUCGUAACAAGGUACC